UACGAAGGGUGCAAGCGUUAAUCGGAAUUACUGGGCGUAAAGCGUGCGUAGAUGGUUCACUCAGUCGGAUGUGAAAGCCCCGGGCUCAACCUGGGAACUGCAUCCGAUACUGGUGGACUAGAGUGCGGUAGAGGAUGGCGGAAUUCCCGGUGUAGCGGUGAAAUGCGUAGAGAUCGGGAGGAACAUCCGUGGCGAAGGCGGCCAUCUGGACCAGCACUGACGUUGAGGCACGAAAGCGUGGGGAGCAAAC
RNAcentral lists this ribosomal RNA (250 nucleotides) under uncultured bacterium. RNAcentral's name for it is "partial 16S ribosomal RNA". It matches the Rfam family "Bacterial small subunit ribosomal RNA", at positions 524 to 773 of the family's 1533-position model. The record is from RNAcentral.